GGAGUAUGGGCCGUGUCUCAGUCCCAUUGUGGCUGAUCAUCCUCUCAAACCAGCUACUGAUCGUCGCCUUGGUGGUCCAUUACACCCCCAACUAGCUAAUCAGAUGCAGACUCAUCCCAGAGCACCGGAGUUUUCACGAAUACCAUUUCAGAUACGCGCAUAUGCGGUAUUAGCAGAAGUUUCCCUCUGUUGUCCCACUCUCUAGGGCAGAUUCUCUACAUAUUACUCACCCGUCCGCCACUUUCCUCUCUGGCAAGCCAGAGAUUCUCGUUCGACUUGCAUGUAUGAAGCACGCCGCCAGCGUCGUCCUCGAGCCAUGAUCAAACUACU
Molecule: ribosomal RNA, 330 nt
Filed under: uncultured cyanobacterium
Lineage: Bacteria; Bacillati; Cyanobacteriota
Description: partial 16S ribosomal RNA
Source: RNAcentral